UACGGAGGGUGCAAGCGUUAUCCGGAUUCACUGGGUUUAAAGGGUGCGUAGGUUGAUAGGUAAGUCAGUGGUGAAAUACUCCGACUCAAUCGGAGAACUGCCGUUGAUACUAUCUAUCUUGAAUACGGUGGAGGCGGGCGGAAUGCGUCAUGUAGUGGUGAAAUACUUAGAUAUGACGCAGAACACCCAUUGCGAAGGCAGCUCGCUACGCCGGCAUUGACACUGAGGCACGAAAGCGUGGGGAUCAAACAGG
This 253-nucleotide ribosomal RNA is filed under the name uncultured bacterium. Its description in RNAcentral is "partial 16S ribosomal RNA". It matches the Rfam family "Bacterial small subunit ribosomal RNA", at positions 524 to 776 of the family's 1533-position model. The record is from RNAcentral.